This 1248-nucleotide ribosomal RNA is filed under the name 'Perilla frutescens' witches'-broom phytoplasma. RNAcentral describes it as "bacterial SSU rRNA". It matches the Rfam family "Bacterial small subunit ribosomal RNA", at positions 153 to 1399 of the family's 1533-position model. Lineage: Bacteria; Bacillati; Mycoplasmatota; Mollicutes; Acholeplasmatales; Acholeplasmataceae. The record is from RNAcentral.
GAAACGACUGCUAAGACUGGAUAGGAAGAUAAAAGGCAUCUUGUAUCUUUUAAAAGACCUAGUUAAUAGGUAUGCUUUAGGAGGGGCUUGCGCCAUAUUAGUUAGUUGGUAGGGUAAUGGCCUACCAAGACGAUGAUGUGUAGCUGGACUGAGAGGUUGAACAGCCACAUUGGGACUGAGACACGGCCCAAACUCCUACGGGAGGCAGCAGUAGGGAAUUUUCGGCAAUGGAGGAAACUCUGACCGAGCAACGCCGCGUGAAUGACGAAGUACUUCGGUAUGUAAAGUUCUUUUAUCGAGGAAGAAAAGCAAAUGGCGAACCAUUUGUUUGCCGGUACUUGAUGAAUAAGCCCCGGCUAAUUAUGUGCCAGCAGCCGCGGUAAGACAUAAGGGGCAAGUGUUAUCCGGAAUUAUUGGGCGUAAAGGGUGCGUAGGCGGUCUAGUAAGUCAGUGGUGUAAUGUCAACGCCUAACGUUGUCCGGCUAUUGAAACUGCUAAACUUGAGUUAGAUAGAGGCGAGUGGAAUUCCAUGUGUAGCGGUAAAAUGCGUAAAUAUAUGGAGGAACACCAGAGGCGUAGGCGGCUCGCUGGGUCUUAACUGACGCUGAGGCACGAAAGCGUGGGGAGCAAACAGGAUUAGAUACCCUGGUAGUCCACGCCGUAAACGAUGAGUACUAAGUGUCGGGUUAAACCGGUACUGAAGUUAACACAUUAAGUACUCCGCCUGAGUAGUACGUACGCAAGUAUGAAACUUAAAGGAAUUGACGGGACUCCGCACAAGCGGUGGAUCAUGUUGUUUAAUUCGAAGAUACCCGAAAAACCUUACCAGGUCUUGACAUGUUUUUGCAAAAUGAUAGUAAUAUCGUGGAGGUUACCAGAAACACAGGUGGUGCAUGGUUGUCGUCAGCUCGUGUCGUGAGAUGUUAGGUUAAGUCCUAAAACGAGCGAAACCCUUAUCGUUAGUUGCCAGCACGUUAUGGUGGGGACUUUAACGAGACUGCCAAUGAUAAAUUGGAGGAAGGUGAGGAUCACGUCAAAUCAGCAUGCCCCUUAUGACCUGGGCUACAAACGUGAUACAAUGGCUGUUACAAAGGGUAGCUGAAACGCAAGUUCUUGGCCAAUCCCCAAAAACAGUCCCAGUCCGGAUUGAAGUCUGCAACUCGACUUCAUGAAGUUGGAAUCGCUAGUAAUCGCGAAUCAGCAUGUCGCGGUGAAUACGUUCUCGGGGUUUGUACACACCGCCCGUCA